This 464-nucleotide ribosomal RNA is filed under the name Vreelandella stevensii. RNAcentral describes it as "partial 16S ribosomal RNA". It matches the Rfam family "Bacterial small subunit ribosomal RNA", at positions 338 to 795 of the family's 1533-position model. Lineage: Bacteria; Pseudomonadati; Pseudomonadota; Gammaproteobacteria; Oceanospirillales; Halomonadaceae. The record is from RNAcentral.
CCUACGGUGGGCUGCAGUGGGGAAUAUUGGACAAUGGGCGAAAGCCUGAUCCAGCCAUGCCGCGUGUGUGAAGAAGGCCUUCGGGUUGUAAAGCACUUUCAGUGGGGAAGAAAGCCUUGGGGCUAAUACCCUCGAGGAAGGACAUCACCCACAGAAGAAGCACCGGCUAACUCCGUGCCAGCAGCCGCGGUAAUACGGAGGGUGCGAGCGUUAAUCGGAAUUACUGGGCGUAAAGCGCGCGUAGGCGGUCUGAUAAGCCGGUUGUGAAAGCCCCGGGCUCAACCUGGGAACGGCAUCCGGAACUGUCAGGCUAGAGUGCAGGAGAGGAAGGGAGAAUUCCCGGUGUAGCGGUGAAAUGCGUAGAGAUCGGGAGGAAUACCAGUGGCGAAGGCGGCCUUCUGGACUGACACUGACGCUGAGGUGCGAAAGCGUGGGUAGCAAACAGGAUUAGUACCCGAGUAGUC